CUAUAUCAAGCGGCUGGAAAGGAAGACAGAAGGGAAAAUUCUUUGCAUGUUACAGGGCUGGGGUGUGCAGUCAGGGUUUUCCUUUCCAACACUUUACAUCAUGUCUUAUUUUCUUAAUAUUAGUAACAAUAUUAAGAACAAAAAAAAAUGAGUUCAAGUAGAAAUUAAUAGAGUAGGAAUACAUAACCUGGAUGUUCGUUUGCUCUCACUUUAUCCUUGCUAACCUUUGCAAAAACAUCUGGAAUUUCUCCCCUGGUGCUUCCAAGGAGAUCGUAAUUACAAUGUAGAUCCCGGAAAAGACACCUCCCAACGAGGUGACAUUCGUGACCCCUUGGAUCAAGGUCAGCACUUACAGUAUGCUAUUUAAGUACUGAAACACAGUUUCCUGCAAAACCUUCCAAGUCAGUAUACACAUCUGUUGCUUCGAAUUAUUUAAACCGCCCUGUAAAUGUGCCAAAUGUCCUGCUUUAGUGGGUUCUGGCUUGCCCCCAGCAGGGGUGGCUGCAGUAGUUAGUUGGGGUCCACUUGGUCCAGGUUUUUAAUUUGCAACAAUAUUGGAAGGGUUAUUUAAUAUAGGAGUUUUAAAUGCUAUAAAAUAUAUAGCCAAGAAAGACUGAGUUCUUGAUGUAUGCAUACAAUCCCAAACUCCUUAAUACUAAAAAUCAAGAGACCAAAACCCUUAAGCUUCUGUUCCCAGGAGAUUAUAAUAGUUUCACAAAAGCUCCCAUGUUUCUGUUUAGACCCUGAGAAGGGCUCUUUCCACCAGAGAAGACAGAGGUCCUUGGCCCCACCUCUGAGGUGGGCACAGCCUAACCCAGCCCAGAUGGCUCUCACGGCCAGGGCCAUGACACGUCCUGGCUGAAGGUCGCUGUACACAGCAGCAGGGCCCCGGAAAUAUGAACUCAACCAAAUUGUAGCAUAGAGAACUCCACAACAAUUAAACUCUGGACACAAAUGAAAUCCACCAGGGACAAAAAUCUGUUUCAGUAACUACUGCCAACAUCGGACUUUCCCCUGCCCUGUGAUGGGGAAAAGAGGGCAAGUUAAGAGCCACCCUCCCCUAACUUUGUGCUCCAGCAGCCACUGAAAAGGGCCACCUUCCCCACAUAACACAGACAAGACUCACCAGUGACAGGGCCAGAAUCAGACCCUCUGCCUUCCCAUUCUUUGUCCCACAGAUGUGUAGCUGAACUGCUUUGACUCCACUGAUCUAUCUUAAAAAAAUACUUGUUAGCCAAACUUUUGACUCAGCUUCUCCUCUUGGCCAAGCCCAACCAUGAACGCUGGAACGAGGACCCCACCCUCCCCUCCAUCUCUUCUCAGUGGGCCAACCCAUUUCCUGCCCACUGUCCACUGCGCCACGGGCCCCUCCAUGCCUCACCCAGGUGUUCUAGGCUUGGUUACUCCCUCCUCCUAAAACAAAAGUGCUUUUCUGCCUGAGACGCUUGAACAUCUUGGGGUCAGAGCAUUCGCCCUGUGUCGUGAAGUCCCCUCCCUCUCUCGAAAUUAGAACUUCAGGUAAGCUCUCUGCUUACCUGAGCCUGGAUUUGUGUUUCACUGAAACACAGAGAAGACAGAGAGGACACUACACUGGCUGAGAACUACCGUAAGUCCUUAAUAACAACGAAAAAUGAACAACAGAGAGGGCCCCAGGUUCUGGCAACAUGGCGAACCUGUGAACUAGGGAAGCCCUCCCAGCACAGAAAAUGCCCGGAAAAUAAAAACAAACAGAACAUUUUAAACUUCAUGACUGUGUAAGUAGAAAAAUAAGGUGAGUCUUAGAGGUCUGAAUCUGUAAGAACAGGCAGCCUUGAUUGGCUGAGGCUGUGAUUUUCUUACAAGGAAAACGUGGCCAAGGCAUGGGGGUUCAUAGGCUUCACCUGAGGGUGGUAGAAACGGCCUUUGUAAGUUUGAGUCCUGCAAAGGGGACAAUUACAGCAUAAGAAAAGGGGACAGGCCCUCAGGAUAAUCACUCUGUUUGAAUUCUGGUGGAGGGGGAAAUGAGACCAAAAAUAUCAUCCCAGAAUCUUCCUCAACUCAGUGCUUUAAUUUGGGGUUCAAUUCAUGCUGUCUCUGUGGCCCAAGUCCUAAUUCUAGAAUGGAAAGAUCAGUACCAGGCAGAAGCAAACACACUCCUCUUUGGGGCAAAACACUUUAAAGACAGGCCUGGGCCACGUUCCAGGCCUUUAGGAGACUCUCCUAGGAAAGUGGGAUCUGAUUUGCUCCAGUUGUGGAGCCUGGGAAGGUGGUUGUGGGGGAAGGUUGUGCCUUUCUGAGCAGCCUCUGAGAGCUGAGUCAAGAAGUUAGAGGAGAGCUGGUGCCUGGUUGGGCCUGGCCAGUAACUCCUGCAGGAACUCAAGGCCGACCCUGAGCCCAGAAAGGUUCCCGAUGAUUAACAGGAGGCUCUGAAAAAUGCAUCAUUUAUUCUUAGCAUUGUCAAAUUGCUUGACCCAAGUCAGAGGUGAUUUUUUGGUUAUUUAUUAUUUGCAAAGCAUCGUGGCUUUACCCUGCAGGGGCCAUUGCCCCUCACAAGGAAUGCAGCAAGGAGCUUGGAAGCAGACAGCUGUGGGGAAGGACCAGCAUGGGUGGGGGUGCUUUGAGAGAGACAGAGGGCCUUUGCUCUUGCACCGGAGACACAUGGUGCCACUAAGAGUUGCGAAGGGGAAAGAAUGUGUGAAGACACAGAUACCUUGAGGGACAGUUAUUCCUCUAACUCAGGAAUGAGGAUGGUUCAACUCACACUAUUUCAAGCCUUCCAAGUAAACAGUAGUUAGUAAAAACACAAUACCUGUCUCUAAUAUUACUUGCUUAAAUAUAUGGACAUAUGAAAAUGUAUCUCAAAAAAAUAAUCUAACGAGAAGGAGAAAAGUAUAAUAAAGGUGUUUAUUGCAGUGAUAAAAAUAUCCAACAACAGUAGUAAAUGUAAGAGUCUUGCAGUCAAGCUUUAUUGUUCAAUAAUCAAAAUAAAACGUUGAUUAUGUAGCAACACA
Nomascus leucogenys (northern white-cheeked gibbon) is the source of this 2990-nucleotide long non-coding RNA. RefSeq lists it as uncharacterized. The transcript is spliced from 2 exons. The record is from RefSeq and is a predicted model, not a curated record. NCBI's taxonomy places the organism in Eukaryota, Metazoa, Chordata, Mammalia, Primates, Hylobatidae.